ACGAACGCUGGCGGCCUGCCUAACACCUGCCAGUCGCACGAGACCUUCGGGUCUAGUGGCGCACGGGUGCGUAACGCGUGGGAACCUGCCCUUAGGUUCGGAAUAACUCCCCGAAAGGGGUGCUAAUACCGGAUAAUGUCUUCGGACCAAAGAUUUAUCGCCUUUGGAUGGGCCCGCGUUGGAUUAGCUAGUUGGUAGGGUAAAAGCCUACCAAGGCGACGAUCCAUAGCUGGUCUGAGAGGAUGAUCAGCCACACUGGGACUGAGACACGGCCCAGACUCCUACGGGAGGCAGCAGUGGGGAAUAUUGGACAAUGGGCGAAAGCCUGAUCCAGCAAUGCCGCGUGAGUGAUGAAGGCCUUAGGGUUGUAAAGCUCUUUUACCCGGGAUGAUAAUGACAGUACCGGGAGAAUAAGCUCCGGCUAACUCCGUG
RNAcentral lists this ribosomal RNA (432 nucleotides) under uncultured bacterium. RNAcentral's name for it is "partial 16S ribosomal RNA". It matches the Rfam family "Bacterial small subunit ribosomal RNA", at positions 29 to 507 of the family's 1533-position model. The record is from RNAcentral.